AUGAACGCUGGCGGCGUGCCUAAUACAUGCCAGUCGCGCGAACAGACGAGGAGCUUGCUCCUCUGACGUUAGCGGCGGACGGGUGAGUAACACGUGGAUAACCUACCUAUAAGACUGGGAUAACUUCGGGAAACCGGAGCUAAUACCGGAUAAUAUAUUGAACCGCAUGGUUCAAUAGUGAAAGACGGUUUUGCUGUCACUUAUAGAUGGAUCCGCGCCGCAUUAGCUAGUUGGUAAGGUAACGGCUUACCAGGGCAACGAUGCGUAGCCGACCUGAGAGGGUGAUCGGCCACACUGGAACUGAGACACGGUCCAGACUCCUACGGGAGGCAGCAGUAGGGAAUCUUCCGCAAUGGGCGAAAGCUUGACGGAGCAACGCCGCGUGAGUGAUGAAGGUCUUCGGAUCGUAAAACUCUGUUAUUAGGGAAGAACAAAUGUGUAAGUAACUAUGCACGUCUUGACGGUACCUAAUCAGAAAGCCACGGCUAACUACGUG
This 496-nucleotide ribosomal RNA is filed under the name uncultured bacterium. RNAcentral's name for it is "partial 16S ribosomal RNA". It matches the Rfam family "Bacterial small subunit ribosomal RNA", at positions 29 to 507 of the family's 1533-position model. The record is from RNAcentral.